RNAcentral lists this ribosomal RNA (443 nucleotides) under uncultured bacterium. RNAcentral's name for it is "partial 16S ribosomal RNA". It matches the Rfam family "Bacterial small subunit ribosomal RNA", at positions 338 to 795 of the family's 1533-position model. The record is from RNAcentral.
CCUACGGGAGGCAGCAGUGGGGAAUAUUGGGCAAUGGGCGCAAGCCUGACCCAGCAACGCCGCGUGAAGGAAGAAGGCUUUCGGGUUGUAAACUUCUUUUAUCAGGGACGAAGCAAGUGACGGUACCUGAUGAAUAAGCCACGGCUAACUACGUGCCAGCAGCCGCGGUAAUACGUAGGUGGCAAGCGUUAUCCGGAUUUACUGGGUGUAAAGGGGGUGUAGGCGGGAGUACAAGUCAGAUGUGAAAACUAUGGGCUUAACCCAUAGCCUGCAUUUGAAACUGUACUUCUUGAGUGCUGGAGAGGCAGUCGGAAUUCCGUGUGUAGCGGUGAAAUGCGUAGAUAUACGGAGGAACACUAGUGGCGAAGGCGGACUGCUGGACCGUUACUGACGCUGAGGCGCGAAAGCGUGGGGAGCAAACAGGAUUAGAUACCCGAGUAGUC